CCCGCACAAGCGGUGGAGCAUGUGGUUUAAUACGAUGCAACGCGAAGAACCUUACCUACUCUUGACAUCCACGGAAUUCGGCAGAGAUGCCUUAGUGCCUUCGGGAACCGUGAGACAGGUGCUGCAUGGCUGUCGUCAGCUCGUGUUGUGAAAUGUUGGGUUAAGUCCCGCAACGAGCGCAACCCUUAUCCUUUGUWGCCAGSGAUUCGGUCGGGAACUCAAAGGAGACUGCCGGUGAUAAACCGGAGGAAGGUGGGGAUGACGUCAAGUCAUCAUGGCCCUUACGAGUAGGGCUACACACGUGCUACAAUGGCGCAUAUAAAGAGAAGCGACCUCGCGAGAGCAAGCGGACCUCAUAAAGUGCGUCGUAGUCCGGAUCGGAGUCUGCAACUCGACUCCGUGAAGUCGGAAUCGCUAGUAAUCGUGGAUCAGAAUGCCACGGUGAAUACGUUCCCGGGCCUUGUACACACCGCCCGUCACACCAUGGGAGUGGGUUGCAAAAGAAGUAGGUAGCUUAACCUUCGGGAGGGCGCUUACCACUU
Molecule: ribosomal RNA, 542 nt
Filed under: uncultured bacterium
Lineage: Bacteria
Description: bacterial SSU rRNA
Rfam family: Bacterial small subunit ribosomal RNA
Source: RNAcentral